This 734-nucleotide ribosomal RNA is filed under the name uncultured bacterium. Its description in RNAcentral is "bacterial SSU rRNA". It matches the Rfam family "Bacterial small subunit ribosomal RNA", at positions 67 to 833 of the family's 1533-position model. The record is from RNAcentral.
CGCGAAAGUCCCUUCGGGGGCGAGUAGAGCGGCGUAAGGGUGAGUAAUGCGUUCCUAUGUACCCCUAGGUCGGGGAUAGCCCGGGGAAACCCGGAGUAAUACCCGAUGUGGUCUCCGGAUCAAAGACUUCGGUCGCCAAGGGAGCGGGGAACGUCCUAUCAGGUUGUUGGUGAGGUAACUGCUCACCAAGCCAUAGACGGGUAGCGGGUGUGAGAGCAUGGCCCGCCACAUCGGGACUGAGACACUGCCCGGACUCCUACGGGAGGCUGCAGUAACGAAUAUUCCGCAAUGCGCGAAAGCGUGACGGAGCAAUGCCGCGUGCAGGAUGAAGCCCUUCGGGGUGUAAACUGCUGUCAGGGUAUAGGAACACAAUGACCAUACCCAAAGGAAGGGCCGGCUAACUUCGUGCCAGCAGCCGCGGUAAUACGAAGGGCUCGAGCGUUAAUCGGAAUCAUUGGGCUUAAAGCGUACGUAGGCGGACGCGCAGGCAUCUUGUGAAAUCCCUCGGCUCAACCGAGGAACUGCUUGGUGAACCGCGUGUCUUGAGGCAAGUAGGGGCUGUCGGAACGCUAGGUGGAGUGGUGAAAUGCGUUGAUAUCUAGCGGAACGCCGAAGGAGAAAUCAGGCAGCUGGGCUUGUUCUGACGCUGAGGUACGAAAGCGUGGGGAGCGAACGGGAUUAGAUACCCCGGUAGUCCACGCCGUAAACGAUGUGCACUAGAUCGAGGAGGUUCU